Ornithodoros turicata is the source of this 2487-nucleotide RNA transcript. It is a transcript of the gene named zinc finger protein 513-like, with no coding region annotated. The transcript has 3 exons. The record is from RefSeq and is a predicted model, not a curated record. Lineage: Eukaryota; Metazoa; Arthropoda; Arachnida; Ixodida; Argasidae.
CAUACGAGCAGUUAUGAAAGACAUCGAAACAACAACACUUUGUUUUGAGAAUGAAGUGGGCGGGUAUUGCCCUGGAUUAAUAUUCCUUUUAACCACUACAAUGACAUCUAUAAACAUUGACUGUUCCCUUUUCCCUGCUGGUGGUACGUGGCCUGGUGUUUUAUUUACGCUUAGAAAUGGCAGUCAACCAAGUUACUCAGUCAGUGAAUCUGAAUAAAUUCCACACGCUUGACGGUCACAAGUAGGACAUGCUAUCCUUGCCCCAACUAUGUCUGAAUAAUGCUUGUGAAUGCUGUCGUUGUGUUCCUUCCGUAAAUCUGUGAGCUCCAGCGUAGCAAGUAGGAAACUUCUCCAAAAGCUUGCGAGUUCAGUUUCAAAGUGAGCGUGUGUGCGUGAGUUCACGUUUGGCAAUGCAUUAUGAACCUGCCGAGAGUUUGCACGUUUGCAGAUAAACUCUUGAACGUCAGUGUUUUCAUUUGUCUUCGUUGCACUCUGGUGGAAGACUGCCCAAAUUUCACUUGAGCACAUUGAACUGUCUUCAGGUCAUGGGAACUUUAAAAGCGAUGAGGGAAACAGCUCCUUGGGUGAGAUGGAGAAAGUACACUUCAAGCUGACAACUAGAAGAGAAAUCACUCUUUCGGCGUGCUUUGUUGUUACGCAUAAAUAGUGAACUACAUCUAGUGUGGAUGAAAUGGUGCACACGCGUCAGAGAGCUGUUGUAACGACUUACAAGAAUGCCUUCAUGUUUAGAGGGCAUGAUUGAUGACUUGUCAACUGUUUAUGAUGUGAUUUCUGUGCAUUACUGGUGAUUAUAUACAUUGCUGCCAUUUUCUCUGUCUUAUACGGUCGAAUGCCAAUCUGUGCAUACGUAUCUUUACUAUAUGUUAUGUUCUUGCUCUGAUCUUCUGCAACCCAGAAGUUUAUUGUACUCUGCAGUUUUGUAUCUGAGAAAAAAAAAAAAGACAUUCAUAGUGAGAACUGCCCACUGUAUGACAUUUUGUUAUCAUGAAGAGAGGAUGAGCACUUUAAUUCUGACCAAUCAUUCUAAACCGUAGCUUCUUUUCAGGGGCCGUCGACCGCCUUCCUGCAUCAAGUCGGACGUCCUCUUCGGUGCAAGGACUGACCACCGUCGUCACACCUUACACUUCCUAUUCCGAUCUGUGGUGUACCAGGCUUCACGCAGGAUUGCGAGCAGCGUAUAAAUGCAGGUUUUGUCCGUACAAGACCACAUUCAAGGGUGGCAUCGUGCUGCACGAGCAGAGGCAUUCUGAGGCAGCGUCCUUCAAGUGCAGGUUCUGCAACUACAUGUCACUGGACGGGACGAACGUGGCAAAGCAUGAAAUGAGCAAGCACACGGGGAAGAAACCCUACAAGUGCAGCUUGUGCGCAUACAUAGCAAGAACGAAAUGUCAUCUCACAGAACAUUUGCGAACACAUCAGAAAUGACUGCUUCAGGGCUGAAAACUAAUGAUAGGAGGAUUGCACGGACAGUACGGUGUGCCGGUUUUUGCGCUUUCCUUUACGAAGAUACGUUGAAGACCGCAAACUUAUCUUUUUAAGUAUAGGAGUGUCUGUGCAUGCUUUAAAAGGAAAGUCCAGAGCUCCCUUAUCGUGCCACGUGGCUAGAUACUAACAAUUCCUAGCAUAGAUCCGUCAUGAUUGCCAAUGGUUAAGGAGUGCCUGUGUGCCCCAAGGUAAGCUAGGUGCCAUAUAUGUCCUUCACAACGACAUCGGCGUUGUUUCUAAGAACUGACACCUGCAGUGCUGAGAAUACAAGAUGUACCGCUUGCGACAGUCAUCUAAAAUCGCCACCCCGUGUUUUAUCCCAUAUCAAAUCUUGGGGGUGUUGCAAGAUAAUUUAUUUGGAGAGAUACACAUGCAGCAUAUGGUCCACCUUUAAAUACAAUAUUGGUACAACAUUUUUGAGGGCAGUCAAGGAAAUACUGACAGGCGAUUUCAGACAACCGUGUCUUGAGCAGUACGCACGCACGCACACACACACACACACUGACAAUCUAAGUUUAUUUUUCUGAACAACUGCUCUAUAUUCCUAUCCCACCUUAUUCAUUCUUUUCUUUCUUGUGUUGGAAGUGUUCUUUUUUCUUUUUCUUUUUCUUUUUUUUGCGUGUUUUAUUCCUUACAUUUUAUCUGAUAUAGAAACCUCUAAUCUUCUGGUAAAUAUAUGGCAGAUCUACUGGCACUGUUUUACGUCCUCGACUUCCAGAAACGAUAGGGUUCCUUGUUUCCUAUCGAUUACUGUGUAAAAUACUUGCGCGACGAUUGGGAAGCACUAUUGGUAGCAGAAGACUGCUACUGUAAAAAGAAAGUGGUUAACCCUGAGGAUUAUAAAACCAGAGAAGGGAGUUCUAAACGUGUGGCUUGAUAAGGGUGCCCUGAACUGGCCCUUAAGCUGAACAGGUAAUCUCUUAUCCGUGGUUGCAUUUCACUGUCUGUACCGAUUCCAGUGGGAAUAAAAAUGUUAACAUA